Molecule: non-coding RNA, 1384 nt
Organism: Cherax quadricarinatus
Lineage: Eukaryota; Metazoa; Arthropoda; Malacostraca; Decapoda; Parastacidae
Source: RefSeq, a predicted model, not a curated record
GUCUUUAAUCUUAUUUCUGUAUACCUGAAAGAAUCCUUUUGGGUUUCUUUGAUUCCCUUGACUUGAACCUUAUUAUUUCUGCUUUAGUUAUUCCUUGUUUUAUUUCUGCUUAACUGAAUGUUCAUGUUGAUUUCAUAACUGCCCCUCUUUUGAUACACCUACCAUUGAGACGUUUUAAUCUAUUUAUGCAUUUAGGAUCAUUUUUAUUUGAUCCGAUUUCCCUAUUUCAGACAGUUGUCUGAGCAUUUAGAACUAUGCUCUGGAGAAUGUCAUAUUGGCAACAGUCCCUUCCUACCUGACCCAGUCAGAUCAUUCCAGUUCAAUCCACCCAGGUGCCUGACAAUAACUAAAGAAGAGUGAGCAGGUUGACACUUGAGGAUGAACAGCAGUGAAGCCAAAGCUUGCAGGAUGACUAAAUUAAGAAACACUGUAGAGGAACGAGUGAAAACCUGGAGCUUUAAAUGAUAAGUUGAAAUAAUCUGACUUGUGAAUAAUGGAGGAUAAUUAUUGGUCAGAGAUGAACAUUUACAUUAUAACUGCACCAAGAUGCCUCACGGGCAGCUUACCAGACCUGGUGGCACGUUGGAAGAGGAUUUUGGUUUGCUGAUUAAAACCAGCACAGGUUGUAGAGCAGUAAGCCUUCAGUGCCAAGAUCUACUUGGAUCUUUUAAUGGUGUGCCUCUAAAUUUCAUAUUAGAGCAGCAGAUUCUCUGGAAUGGAUUAAUCAUGAAAUUAGAGGGCCCACUGUAACUGCACCAAAAUGCCUCCCAGGCAGCUUACCAGACCUGGUGGCACGUUGGAAGAUGACUUUGGUUUAGUGACUGAAACCAGCACAGAUGGAUGGUAAUAGAAAAGUCCAAGCUGAGCAAGUUUGGAAGAUUGCUGGAAUAGAAGAAAGGUAGAUUAGGAAAGCUCUCAACAGCCUACAAAGGGAAUUCCCAGAGUACAUCUUACAAGAAAGUUGUUACAGUAACCAGGAAAACAAGUUAACCUUUACUUUCUCCAUAGAAUGGAUUUCGUAGGUUGGAAAGCAGCAAACCUUCAGAUGCAAAAUUCACUCAUUGCCUUUAAUGUGAUGCUUCUAAAUGUCAUAUUAGUGCAGGACAUCUCCACUGCCUCCAGCUGCCUCCUCGCUGCAGCAUUUACAAUCCAAGCUUCGCACCCAUAUGGAUGGCAAUAGACAAACGAGCAAGCUGAGAAAGUUUGGAAAAUGGCUACAAUAAAAUUGACUUCCAAAUCCUUAAACAUCCUUCAAAGGUAAGGAACUGUAAAUUCUGGAGGUAUAGGUAGUAGGUUGGUAGACAGCAACCACCCAGGGAAGUACUACCGUCCUGCCAGAUGACUGUGAAACAAAAACCUGUAACUGUUUGCAUGAUGGUAGGAU